Molecule: long non-coding RNA, 13841 nt
Filed under: Solanum tuberosum (potato)
Lineage: Eukaryota; Viridiplantae; Streptophyta; Magnoliopsida; Solanales; Solanaceae
Description: long non-coding RNA (STUB_LNC004223)
Source: RNAcentral
UAAACGAUCUCGUUCAGAAAAUUAGCAAAGGAAAAUGCAGCGCUAGUACAAAUCCUAAUAUUGGUGUUGUAUCAUCUCCCUCCGAGUCAUGUGAAGUCAUAUCUGGAGUAAUCGACGAAUCAGCAGCAACUAAUAAUACUCACAAGCAACAGAAGAAAAAAAAGUCGAUUCGUAGGGCAAUAUUUCAUCCAGUUGUUGCAAAGGAAUCAAGGACAGAAGCAAGGGCAAGGGCAAGGGAAAGAACAAAAAUAAAGAAAAGCCUAAAUAAUAAUAAUGGUGAUCAAUCCAUGGCGCCUGAUGAGGAUUUAACAAGAUCAUUAGGAUCUUGGAGUACUACAUUUGAAGAUCAUCAAUCAGGUAUUCAAGCCUAUAAUAAUACUAACAAUAUUAUGAAUGCUGUUGAUAACUUUAAUUUGGUGGAUACUAGCAAUUGGAGCCCAUUUAUGUUCAACUAUCACCAAAUCAAUACUGAAAUUUCUCAGGAGGUAUGUAUUAACUUAAUUAGAUUAUUAUUAUUAUUAUUAUUAAUCCGAUCGCCAAAUAUUUAUUUUUAUUUUUAUUCUUCUGUUGCAGCAUCAAUUGACAAACUUCCAGUAUCCUGGCAAGUUAUGGGAAGCUUAAUUAGGGCAAGGAAGUUCUACUUAAGCUUGUUGAUUUAGUGCAACUUCAGAAGAAGGCUAUUUGGUCAUGUUGGUAAUGUAAAAUGAAUUUGUCUAUUUUAUUAUUGAGUGUAUUCCAUGAAAAACAACUUGUAUUUUUCUUAUAAAUAAGCUCAUCUUUUUCUUUCAAGUCAUUUUCAAUAACAAAAGGAAACUAGACUUAUGUCCAUUAAUAAUUAAUCAUUAAAGAUGGGAACAUUAAUCCACUAAUUGAUAAGUAGUUCCAUUCUUUGACAGUUUACCAUUUAAUCAUCAAAUUGACUUUAUGUCAAAAUCCAAAUAUUAUCAUAAAAAAGUGAAGACUUCUUAUAAAAGUCCUAGAUCACACAAUAUCUUUGUAGUAUUUUUUGGAGGUAAGGUUCGAUCCCCUCGUAUAACCUAUACUUUUGAUGAAAUACAACACCAAGACAUAUAUGCCUAACUAAGAAAAAAGAACAAAGAUAUUGUUAACUAAGGUUUCUCUUAUAUCUUAUUGAUUCUAAACAUCUCAUAUAUAUUCAACAUAUAAUUAACUUAAUUUCAUAAAGUCAAAAUUCUUCUAUAGAUAAUGUUUGGAUAACUGUCCACUCAUAUAUAUAAUAAUAAUAAUAAUAUAUAUAUAUAUAUUCUGAUCAUGAAGUUUCAAAAGGAUUCCAAAACUAUUAUUUGCAUGAUAAGAUGCCACACAUAUAGAACAAAUUAAUAUAUUUAGCUUGUUGCAAUUGCAGUAGUAAAAAUUAAGAUUCGAAAAUAUUAUACAAUCCAAAAUUGUAACUUCUUUAUUAAAUCUUAAUAUUAAUGAGAAACAGCAUGUAUUAAUUAGCGGAAACAUAGGGAAAAUGAGCUUGAGGUGAGAUUAGAUGGAAUUUAGUUGCCAGAAGUAACCAAGAAACUACUCGACCUAGUACAUCUGUAAUAGUGACAAUGAUAAUAUUGAACUACGAAUGAUUCAGAUAACUAGGCUUAAUGUUCAAGGAGAAUGAUAUAAUAGAUAAAAAAUAUGACACAUAAAAUCAAAAUAGUAAGGAUGAUUGAAACAAAACAAGAGAAGUGCUACUGGUGUGUUAUGUGAUAGAAGUGGUAUCUUACCAAAGUGAUGAAAGUCAAGCUCUACAUACAAUAGCAUUAAAAUCAACAAAAUUGUAUAUAUAGGAGUUAAUGCUUGGCCUCUAAAGUCAAACAUAUCCAUAAAAUUAGCAUCAUAGAUCAAUAUGAAUUCUGUGAUGGAUGUAUUGUCAUAGAAGAUUGGACAAAAUAAAAGGUGAUCAAACCACAUUAGAUAGAAGGUGCAAGUAGCUAGCUAGUACACAUAAGAUAAAAUGAGAAGAUCGCUUGAGAUGAGCCUGAAAGUGUGAGAGUGUUAAAGAGGACGAGGUAGAACUAAAAUCACAUUGAAGGUAUUAGUCUUGAAAGACCUACAAUCUCUUUGAAUCCAUAAUAGUGAAAGAAAGAUCUCUAUAUAUAGGCGAUACCAAGUAGUUGGAAUUAAUUAGUUCUAGUCAUGUUAGUAUACUAAGUCCAAUAUUUGCUCUAUAAAUAUGAGUCUACUAGACUUGUUAGUUAUGUAUAUGUUAGUAAUAGUGAAGAGAACUUCUACAGCUAGUAAACUAGGUUUUAUAACAUUGAAUUGAUCAGAUGAGCUUAAAUGAAGCGACAUACAUAUAUAGUAAGGGUUCAUAUGGUAUAUCUCAACUUAUUUGAAACUGAGGCAUAACACCAUACAGAUUUAACAAAGUCUAUAGUUUAAUAUUAACGUAAUUCAUUGAGAGUUGGCGUAGAAAAUAGAGGCCUUAAAAGAUCUUGUUUUCAUGAAAUCAAUCAAAUAAUUCUCCAUAUCAACAUCUGAUGUAUGCUAGUGCAGGAAUUUUAAAUCAUCAGUCAUAUUAAUCCUUCAUUAGUUAUUCCUUGUUUCUUGCCUUUGUAUGGCAAAUCAAAAGGAAUAAAAUGAUACUGGUAACUAUUAUAGCACUUGUUAAUUAGUUAUAUCAUUCCAUUAACUAAGUGGAUGAAAAGACAAAUUUAUUAGGUGUAUCAAAGUAGUUUGAGAUGAAUGGUCAUAAAUAUGGCAUCGUUUCCAGAAUCAUUACUAUGAUCCUAGCAUAGCAUAUCCCUCUACACUGAUUUGAGUGCCAAGAGAUUCUCUUGUUUUAGUAAUUGUGCAUUAAUUCUGAGUUUUCUGAUAAAAGAAAUCAAUCUUGGACCUAUUUCAACCCUAAAAGUUAGCUCGUGAUUAGGGGGAGAUUGUCCAAGACUGUAUAAAGAGACCGCACGUCAAUCCCAUUUUCAUCCGACAUGCAUGUGAAUCUUCAACACCCCACUUCCCAACAUCGGUAAAUAAGAAGGGAGAUGGGUCCUGCUUUAAUACUAUGAAAAAGAAAUGGAUCUUAAGUCUAACUCAACCUAGGUUGCCCUAGACCAUAUAAGGGAUCCCUUUUUCAUCCGAUGUGAAACGGUCUUCAAUACUUUCAGGGUCAUUUGUUUGGGAACAAGUUAUCCUAGGAUUAAUUAUUCUGGGGUUAACUAUCUUGGAUAACUUAUCCCACCAUGUAUAUGUGAUAACUUAUACCGUUACACUAUGAUAUAAAUGAUGGGAUAAGUUAUCUCAAACAUGACAUCAAAAUUUUAUCCCUGGACUGUUUAUUUUUAUCAUUCACGCCAAACAACGUAACCCUUGAUUGACAAAACUUUUCAAUUCUACAAAAUUAAGGUUUAGUCAAAAAAGUCAGAGAAGAGGAUAAUGUUGUAAUAUUGAGGGAUGAUUUACUAGGUUACAUUCACAGUAUUUGAUCUUUACUAAUAAUAAGUCACAUCUGAUCUGAUCAGUGACACACCAAUUAAUGUCCUAAUAGUAACUUUUCCACUAUUUCAAGACGUAAUUUAAAUUUCAGGUACAAGACAAAUAAUUAAGAUAAUGCCGACUACUUCAAUAAUUAUGAUUUACUAGUACCAAAUGAUUUACUUUCAAGAAAGAAUUUCCCAACACUAGUUUUUGAUUCAUUAGAUGCAUAAAGGCUACUGAUCUCCCAUAAAUGCGCGCAAUAUAAAGAGUAUGAUAAAUAAGGGGUGUUUCAUUACAUAAAAAAUGACCUUUAGAGAUAAUUAAUUAACGAUAAUAGCUUAAUUGCCGCUAAAUAUGUAUUGUCCCUAAAGCCUAUAGGGACAUUGAAUCCAAUGACAAUUAACUAAUGCAGGUAAGAGUUUUAAUACUCUUUGUUAAUGUGCAUAUUUAUUUUCGUUAAAAGCUGUUUUUACUUUUUAUUGUAGUGUUCAUUGAUAUAGGAUGUAUAGUUGUAUACUAUUGAAUCAAUUAUGUCAUUGACUAAUCUAGGCAAAACAAGAUGUUAGAGAAAUAUGGAUAUGGUAGGGGUCUUGCCAAAGCCCCCCCAUCACACAGGAGGUGAACACUUCUGUGCGAAUGGUUUUUUGGUAUAAAAAAAAAAAGAUGUUAGAGAAAUUAAAGGCAUCAAAUUGGAAUAAUUUCUUCAAUUUUCUUAAUAUCAUAGUUUAAAUUGAUUAACAUGAAAGGUUUAUGUCCUCCUCCGUACAUGGACUUUGGGAUGGAUAGGGGUCAUGUCAAACCCCCACACCACCUCCGGUUAAUAUAGCACUCAUAAAAGGUUAUUAAUAGAUGAGGAUAAACAUAUGGGUGGCUUUGAGAACCAAGAAAUAAAGGUAGUGACUUAUAUAUAGUACCUGAAAAUGAUUCCUUAAUGAGCAUAAAAGGUUAAAAGAAGAAAGUUACUAAGAAAUAAAAGGAGAAAGGUAAUGGAUAGGUUAAAUGAACCAAAAAAGGAGAAGCACAAAAGUGGGGAACAAGAAAUUAAAUAAAACAUAUCCUCAUAGGUGACAUUCCCAAAUGAUUUAUCUUUUAUUUUUUUUGUGACCAACAUUUUUUUAUUCCUAAGUUUCUCCUCAAAUAUGUAGAAAAUAUGCAUAUAAUUAGACCUGAAGAGAAUUAAUUAGGAUCUAAUUAAUUUGUCACAUCUUCUUGUAGCUUUGUUAAAAUUGCAAGGUUUCUUUAGUUUACUAAUGUAAUUAAGUACACUAGAUAUAUCCCCAAAAGAGGAUGUGAUGCGGUGGAUAAGGUUACUCCUCCAUCAAAUAAAUGUUUCAGUUUCAAGCCCAAGAUAUGAAAGAAUUCCAGGUAGAGAGUGCUACCCCUGAAUCGACCUUACCCAGAUUCGAGUUUCAUUAUGAGUAUCGAACACGGAAUGAAAAAGCAAAAAAAAAAGAAGUACUUACAUAAACUAAAAAUCAGGAUUGAUUUUAAUUAUAUAUAAACAAAUAAUUAAUCUAACCUAAUUGUAAUUAUACUAUAUAUCUCUAUAUAUAAUCUAUAUAAAGCAUGUUACAACAAAUAUACAAAGCAUUAGCAUUUGGAUCUUGAGGAGUGCUUCUCUCUACCAAAAUAAGUGUUAUCUUAGCAAAAAUCAUGUUUAUUAAGAACUUAAUAACUAUAAUGUGUAGUUUAUAAAACUAUUCGGAUUUAAUAAAUGUUUUUUUUUGAAAGUUGAACAUUUUUAAGGAUAUGAAAUUUAAAAAUAUAGUUGAAAAAAAAUACUAUUUUUUAUCUUAAAUUUUUAAGAUAAAACUUAUUUCGGGACAACAUUAUUUUAUUAACGAGACACUUAUUUUAAGACAGCAAGAGUAUCAAUUUACUUAAAUGAUCGUAUAUAUAUAAACCAAGUGAUUUAAUUUAAGUCAUUGAGAGAGUUGUAUAUAUUUCCCAUCCACCUUUAUUCCCUUUAUAGUUAAGUUUUGAUUUGCGGAUGUGGAGACAAGAUAAAAGUAAAAUUUUCAUUAUUUAAAACUUGUUAUUAUAUGUAAGACAGUAGAUAUUUAUUUUAAAUGAUUAUUGCAUAUAAUUUUACAUAGAUUUUUUUUGAUUCAUGGGUUUUUAUAUUACAAUUAUCAAAUUCAUGUCAAUCAUCAUAUAUUUUAGUUGCAACAUAAGAUUUGUUGAGUUAAAUUUUGUUUAAAAACACACUUUUCCUUUCUUCUUUAUAAGUGACUAUAAAUAGUCAAAUAUUACACCCUCGUUUUUAGUUUAUUUAUUUUAAUUUAACUGAAUACAAAAAUUAAGGAAAUAAAGAAGUUUUUUCAAAUUUAAUAUUUUUAAACUAAAGAUACAUAAUAUAUCAAAAUGUAUUUUAAACUUACUAUCAUAAACACAUGUCACAUUAAAUAUUGAAAUUCAAAAGUUAUCAAAUUAAUUAGUUUUUUUUUUAAAUGGACUGUAAAAAAGUAAAACUGAAAGAGACAUGUUUUUUAUUACAUUAUAUAAUUUUCUCCAAUCAAAACAUAUGAUGAGUGUUCUACAAUCCACACAUGACACUUGGAAAGAAUCCAGGUUGAGUCCAAGUGACCAAAGACUCAGAGUCUCAAACACAACCGUCUAUUGAUUAAUAUUAUCGAUGUGAAAUAUCACAUGUAAAAUUUAUUUUUAUAAAUGAUGAUAUAUGUUACUAUUGCAGGCCCCUCUCUGCUUAUGCACUUCGUCUUGCUCUCCUCGUGGAAAAUAUAAAUUUAGAUCGAAUGUAAUAGCUUUAAUUUAAAUAGUAUGCUUAUUAUGAUAUUUUAGUUUCAUAUUAUUUUGAAUUUUGAAUUUAGAAUACACUUCUACCGUUGUACUUUCCACCGACCUAAAUAUGGUAAAGUAAAUCCUAGUAAUAGCAGUAAUAUUUGACUUGGAAGAACUUUACAGACAUGAUAUGGAUUCUAAAAUCCAAUUACUUGGUUUAAUUAGCUGGAGUUGGAAAUUACUAUUAAUUUUAUUUUUUUAAAUCCCAAUAAAAUUCACCUUCUUUAAAGGAGGCAUUAGUGAAGAUUCCAAUUUCUCAAUACUUAGAUUUAAAAAAAUAAAUAAAGUGAACAUAUAUAUGAUGCUAAGAAUUUUUUAUUUAGAAAAAAAUUGAAUUAAAAGCAAGAAGCAUGAUAGUGUCGCAUUUAGAGGCAGACCCACAUGGAAGAAGCACAUAUACCAAUUGACUUCAACAAAAAAGCAUCCCUCAAGGGCACGCAAUCCAAGUUGUGAUUUUAAACAGACAACCUAACGUAUGCAAAGUGAUGCUCAAACCACGCGUCCACUAGGUGAGCUUCAUCCAACUAUGCCCUUCUAUUUAAAUUUUUAUGUUAGUAUACAUCAGUUCUAUGGGUACCUUAAUAAAAUCUUCAUACAAGCAUCUUCAACUAACGUGCAUCUGCUUUUAGGUAUGUCUAAUUAUCUUUAAAUUUUGGAUCCGCCUUUUUGAAACCACCCAAGUGGUAAAUGACCAUAGUACAGAGUACAGAGCAUAUUUGCAGUCAAAAUUAAUGAAUUGUGGGAAAGAAGAGGAGUGUAUGUUUCUCAGUGUACUAUCCGACCCACGGCGACAAAAUUUUGAACCUAUGGUGGCCCGGGCAUACCAUAUUUGGUCCCCCAUCCUAUAAGGUGGAAUUAGCUUAGCUGCAGGCACCUACAGCACAAAUUUAGGGUUUUUGACCUAUCAUAUUGCUUCUUCCUCACUAGGGUUUCUGUAUAUACACGUGCUCUACCUGCACCCUCUUUGUACCAUGAACUUCUCUGAUAUUUUCUUCUAACCCUAGAAGAAAGAUAAAACUAGGGCUCAGAUUCCAUGGGGAAGGGUGAAAAUGGAAUAAAUGCCUAAAGCAUUUCAGAUCCGUUUGACACUAACAUGAGUUGUGAUGGGAUAAUUGAGAUCCAAAAUUUAAAAUUGAAUCUAUCUCGCUCCAAUACAGAUAUUGGACAGUAUUGGUGUAAAAGGUAAAGGAGGAGCAUCUGAAACUGUAAUUGGAGAAAAAAAGAACCCUGAAAAUAUAUGCCUAUAGAAUUUAAUUUGGAACUCUAUUUUUCUGAUGUGAUGAGAAAAAAACAAGAAAGAAUCAGAUGCUAAACUAUGCUACAGAUGAUAGAUAAGUUCAUCUAAUUAAUUAGAGUACCAUUUUUUGGUUCUGCUAAUUUGAAGCCGCCUGAAGAACCCUAACCUGAGAGAGCGCCGCGCCUGGGGAGAGGCUACAUACAAAAAUGACCGGCUCGGCUGCAAAACCAAACAGCUUGUCAUUCCUUUUUUUACACCAUUACGUGGCUAGAAUUAACUGGCCACCGCCUAAGAGGCUAAGACUAGUACAAGUGAAAAAAAUAAUUCAUUCGCUCCAACUUAAAAUCUUUAAUUUUAGAAAAAAUCAUCCAACUUAAAAUCUUUAAUUAAAAUUGAAAAAAUUCAUUCAUUCAUCACAUCGGUCACUCUCUAUAUAAAAAUAUCUAAAGCCUUUAGUUGAAUGAAGUAACAUUAAUAUUUUUGUAACAAUAAAUAUUACCGCUAAAAGAAAAAUUUAUUGCUACUAUCUUUUGUCAUAGCAUAUGCAGUUGAUGAGAUUUGAGUGCUCUAGUUUAGUACGAAUUAAGGUGUUCCACUGAAGUAUAGUUUAUAAUAAUCAUAUGGAUCGUACCAAAUACACACUUGACCUAAUUGAGAUAAAAUCAAAGGAUGACACGAUUGCAGAAGCUUGUCAAGGGUCAAAUUAUAUGUGCACACCACCAAUAAUAAGAAGGCUAAAGGUCACGCAUGGGUCAAAUUAAAUGAUCAAUCACUUCAUUACUUUUAUACUCAAUAGAGAUGUCAAGUACAUUCUUUUUUUUUCCUACUUCCCCUUCAUGUGGUUUAGUGUAACGCACAUUAUAUAGCGCCAAGCAAAAUAAUUGAACAAAAAGCUUGUGUCAAAUGUUGUCUAAUCCUAAAGGACCCCCUUAUCCUUCUGCAUCAGUACUAGCUACAAGACGAAUACUAAAGGAUAUAUAGGACUUUAUUAUAAGGAGAGAUGUCAACAUUCUCAAAAGCAAAAAUUAACAAUACAAGAUUUUUUUAUGUGCUUCUAGAGAUACCUAACGUUGAUGAUGUCUUCAUCACUUGUUCAUUAUCUCUUUCUUUCCGAGACGGAACUAGAGUUCUAGUUACGAAUUCGAUAAAAUAUCUACAUGUGUUAAAGAGAUUCACUUAAUAUGUAUAAAUUGAUUCAAAACUGAUAAAUUUAAAAUUUUGAGUAUGAUUUAUCAUGUUUACAAGUGUCAUUUUGUAUUACUUAUUACUCUAGUACUAUUGCAGACAUUGAUGUCAAUAUUCGGUUGGCAUCUUUUAGCCUACAACAUAGCCUGUCAAAUGGGCAGCUUUAACAUAAUUCUUAGUAACAUUAAUAUGCUAAAAUUAAGUAUUGUUCUAAGUCCCAUCACUAAUUAUUGGUAUCUUAUGAUAAUCUGUUUCUCAAUAUUGUUCUAAUAGUAUAGCUAUUUGAGUGGAAACUAUUAUUACUUUGUUAAGAAUAGAAAGGAGAGGUGGAAUUUAAAAAUAUAUAGAUAAAGAAAUAAGGGGGGAAUCCUUUCUUUUGAUUCUAGCAUGUGCUCGUUUAUUUGUCAAACAACAAUAAUUUUAGCUGAUAAUUAUUGUGAGAAUAUAACAACAUAUAAUCGGUCUGAAGAGAAUAGUUUGUAUUCAGAUCUUACACCUAUGAUCUUGUGAAGAUAAAAGAGGUUGUUUAUGAUGGAUUCUCAAAUCAAGUAAAGAAUUCCAAAACAUGUAUGAAAAGGGAAUAGUAAUAGUGAAGAAGUAAUGAUAAAAGUAAUGGUGAAAAGAAUACUGAUAAUGAAAUUUAGACAACGUUAGACUACCUAGUAACCUUCUAUCAUAAUCUUUGACCUACAUACUCUUAUCUAGGGUCACAUACUUAAUUAGUAAAGUUACAAGUAUGUCAUGUAAUGCCUAAUCACCUCUCCUCAAUAUUAUUAUGAAAAUAUACAUCACUUAAUCAUUGUAAAACCCCAAAUGUGAGAAUACAAAAUAUGUCUCGCAAUUAUUGAUUUAAUUAGUGUAAAUAUCAAAUACGAAUAAAUAUCGUAAUUACCUGUUUAUUAAUUGUUUUCAUUACUUGCAUUGUUCUGCAUCAAAACUGCACUCCUAUACAAUAGAGAGUAUCAAAUUUCAUGCUUUUAAGAAUUAUUUUAUCUCCUACAUACUUGGCAAUUGGAAUGAACAAAGAAAGCCAAUACAUGAAGAAAAAAUAUUGCUAAGAAAUCUUGGUCAACAUUUUCCAUUUUUUUUUUAAAAGUAAAAAAUUGGGGUAGGGGUAAGGAAAAAAGGGGAAAGAGGAUCAAAAUAGGACUUUCGGGAGUGAAAAUUCCUAAUAGCAAAUCAAUUGAACGACUAAGAUAUUCCGAUUAUUUCAUAAACAUAUAAAAAAAAUUUGAAACAUCUAAAUGGAACCCUCUCCCGGAGCAAACUCAAGCACUUGCUAUUCUUCGUGGCCCAACCCAAAAGUAUAUAUUUUUUUCCAAAAAGAAAAAAGUAUCAUGUGCAUUGUAUAUUUGACUUAAUUAUGCGUAAUUGACAAACUAAUGUUAAUGUCUCAUGUUUGUAUUGUUUCGAAAAUACUUUUUUUCUAUGUUGAUUUUGCACAAAUAUCUUAUACCAAAAAUAUUAUUAAAUCCUAGACGUCAAAAUAAUCAUAAUAAAGAAUAUUGAAAUGUGUAUAGAGUAGGUAGCAUAGGAAUUGAGUGAGAAUCAUGAGAAUUGAUAUUCUUUACAAGCCAUAUCUACCCAUGAGAUAUCGCCGUACUGAUGGGCCUUAAGGGUCACUGUGGGCCGGAUACUGCUCUAUGCCUCUAUGGUCAUUUCACUUGGGCUAUUCUAGAGGUGGCAAUUGGAGUGGGUUGGGUCAAAUUUGAACGGGUCAUAAUGGGUUAAGAUAAUAAAUGAAUCAAAGUUUGAUUUUACCCAAACUUAAAGUGGUUUGGAUUGAUUUGGCAGGUUGAAUUUGAUUUUUCCACAUUUCAUGUGAACAUUCUUCUACAUUUCGCAUAACGUAAUCCAUGUAUCUUGAUACCAAACACAUUUUGAAAUACAAAUACAUCGGGAAAAAGGCGAGCGAAAGAGUCAUGAGAUUCUCAGAUACAUGCAAAUCACACUUAGAGAGUGUAUAUGAAAUAAACUACACCUAAUUUGAUCCAUAUUUAUCUGAGAUACACGUAUCAUUUUUUUCAACUUUAACUACAAAAUAAUUUAACUUUUUUAAAACGUCAACUUCUAUCCUCUUUCUUUUUUUGUUUCAACUUCAACUAAAUAUUGUUCAAAGGUCAAAUAAUAUUUUAUAUAGCUUAAAAUAUAAAAGGAGUAAGGAUAAAAUAGUAGGAGUACGGGGAAAUCCCCAAAAAGCUGGAGUGAACAAUAUAAAUGGGCCAGGGGCCUGUUGUUCUCAGUUGGACUAUUAGGUUUACUUACUUAAGGACAUACUUUUACUUCAUUUAGCAAACUUCUUAAAAGCCCAAAUAUGGGCCUGAUCCCUCUUUACUUUUCUAGAAUGAUUACCCAAUCUACAUUAUCAUCACUACUUUUCCCUCUAUUAGCAACAACAAACUUUUUUUUUGCUUGAUAGAAAGUGAAGAAUUUAAAAUACACACAAUGUCACUGUUAAAAAAUUAUGUCUCAAUUUAUAUGAAUUAGUUUGACUUGCGGUCAGGGAUGGAGCCAGUCUUCUGUUAGGGGUUCAUUCGGCGGAAAAUAUUACUAUUUAUAUAUGGUUUAAAUUAUUUUUUAUGUAUAUAUAUAGUAGAUGUUGAACCCCUUUCAAUUAGUUCGUGUGUUUAGUUCUUCAGAUUUUGAAUCCCCUUAAAUAAAAUCCUAGCUCCACCACUGCUUGCGACAUAGAAUUUAAAAAAAAAAAAAAACUUUUGAAUUUUGUGGUCUAAAAUAUGUCAUAGAUGUUUGUGUGGCUAUAAAUCAUUUCAUUAAAAGUAAAAUAAACGUUUUAAAAUUAAAUUGUUACAAAAUAUAAAAGUGUCAUUUUUUUUACAACGGACUAAAAAGAAAUGUGAGUCAUAUAAAUGGGGACAGAAAAUUUAUCGUAGAUAUUUUGAUUGAAUUUGUAAGAAAAGAUAAAAUAGUAUUUUUUUCACUAGAGAAACUAUUUCCUACCAUACGUUUUUCGGUGAGCUGGUUCGGUGAAAAAAUUAUAUUUUAGAACAUAAAUUUUCAAUUGAUUCAUGAUGAGAAUAACCUUUAUUUCUAUUAGUAUUUGUAAUAGGAUUAUGAAAUUUGUUUCACUAGUCAAAUAAUAUAUUCACAUGUAAAGACAAAAAAAACUACACUGUAUAAGAACCCGUUUGGAUUGGCCUAAAAGUCUGUCAAACCUACUUUUAAGUCAGUUUUUAAUUUCUGAAAGUGUUUGGAAAAUAUAAAAAAUAACUUAAAAUAAGUCAAAAAUGACUUAAAAUAAAUUAUGAAGUAUUUGGCAAAGUAAAAAAUGACUUAAAAUAACUCAGAAACCAAAAGUAGGUCUCCCCCUUACUUUUUUAUUUUUUGACUUAAAUAUCAUUUCAAUUUGACUUUUUUAUUUUUGAUUUAAAAGCUAUUUUUUUAAGUCAUUUCAAACGGGCUCUAAAUCUAAAGGAAAGAAGACAAAAAAAAUUCCGUGUCUCCUUUUUGUUGCAGAGAAUGAAGCCUGGAGUUCCACACACUCCUCUUUUUAAUAUCGUAAAACGACAAAACAAUUUAAGGAAUGUCCUAAUCAUUGCGUCUUUUUUUUUAAUCCCUAAUUCAAAAAAACAUAUAACUAAUUACUCCAUAUCUCUUUAACAUGAGUAUCGGUUUACCCACAUGGGUGUCCAAUCUAGUCUAGACAGUGGCGGAGCCAGAAUUUCUAAUUAAGAGUUUAGAAUCUGAAAAAAUAGACACAAAAUAGUUAAAAGAGCUUCGACAUCUACUAUAUAUACUUAAAAAUUAUUUUAAUCAUGCAUAUAUAAUAUAAUCUUCGGUCAAAGGAGGUUCAAAAAUGACCCCCGAACUAUAAGGUGUCUCCGCCACUAAGUCUAAGGUAGUAAUUAUGAUAUGCUUAAAAAAUAUAUUUUCAUACAAAAUAUUUUUGUUUCGUACCAAAUACACGCUGAUAGUUGUAAAGUUACAGCUUCAUUCAGGACAAAGUGUUUGAUUCAAAUGAUAUCUGCAUUUCUGGAUCAUAAUCAUAUUUACUCUGAGUUUUAAUCUAUGCAUGAAUAUGUAAAUAAAGUUUUACAAUUAAACCAUUUAUAAAAUGUUUACUAAAUCUCCUGAUAUACAUUAUAAAAAUAAUAACAACAAUAACAUGGCAGAAGCACUAGGAAGCCUUGCUAAGUUUGGAGGGAAAGUUUGUAACUAAGUUUAAUUUAUUUAUUUUGGUAGUAGAUAGUUAUAAAUAUUGGGAUUCUUAAGGUGUAAAUAAAUGAGAAAAAAGACAUAUUUUGAAUUGCACCUCUUUAUCUAACUCUUUCAUUGUUUAUAAAUUCAAAAAUCUCUUACCUCAUAUUAAGGGUCUUUUUUUUUUUUUUGACUUACUGUUGCAAACACAGUUUGAUAACAAGAUCAUGGUAUGUAAUAUAUUUUAUUUUUGAGUUAAUCUUAUAUUCUGUCUGUAGAAGACUAAAAAAUCCCAGUUAUUUCUACUCCUUUUAAAUAAAAUAAAAACUAAAAUCCUUGUAAUUUCUACUCUUUUUGUAACUCAAUUUGAAGAUAUAAAAACCUAACCAUUUUAUUAAAUUUAUUUUAAAAAAAACAUAAAAACAAAAACAAGAAUUAUUUUAUCUCAUAUCAACUAUUUUUGUUAUUUUCACUUCACAAUACAACACCACUCAAGGCACAACUUUAUUUUCAUAUAAAAAAAAUGCUAGUUUUAGCUAAAAAAGUAGAAAAUAAAUAGUUCUAGAAGAAGAAUGAGAAGUGAUUGAAACUGACCUUAAAUCAUGCCCUAAUAAUAUUCCAUCUUCAUUUCUUUCAUAUUUUGUACAAUUUCUAGCUGAUAAAAAAAAAAAAAGUCAUUAACAAGUACUUACCACUUAUUACAUAUUAUAUAUGAUGAUUUUGAGAGGAAAAAAAAUGAAAACAUUUAAUUAGCAUAAUGAGAUUCCAUAUUCUUAUUCUUUCAAAUUCAAAAACCUCUACCUUAUAGCUUUGCUUGAGCCGUUAGCCAUCGAGAAUCGAGUAGAUAGGCCAUAAUACCUUAGGGUUCGAACAAAAUCACUCAUUCUUCUAUUAUAAAUAGAUGCACGACACCUUCAAACCAGGGCCGAUUUUAAAGAGUAGAGAAAUCGACACGUGUCUAAUGUCCCAAAAUUUAAAGAGGACCAUUAAAAAAAAUACUCAUAUAUUUAGGUGGUACCAAUGAAAUACAGUUAAAGUAAGAAAC